GGGGGUGACAGGUUUCGACGUCGGUCGUCGAAGCAGGGGAAGCGGGUCGAGGAUGCACGGUCAUCUCGUCAACGCCCCGUGCAAACCAAUAGGUGCCGAUUCCAAGCGCACCGACUUCGCCCUCGCUGCCUGAGCGAGUGCGAGUCCGUCAGCCCGGGUGCGCCUCCGCCCCGGGUCCUGGCGUCGACUAGGAGGCUCACCUCCCACCGAGGUCGCGUAGGUGGGAGGGACACGCAACGCGGCUGGGCCUGGCCACGACUUGCCUGCGUGAUCGUGGGGGCCGAGUAGACCAGUAGCAGGCUGCACCCGGAGAAGCCCUGUUCCCACGCCGACGGACGCGGGUUCGAUUCCCGCCACCUCCACCC
Molecule: transfer-messenger RNA, 365 nt
Filed under: Kineococcus xinjiangensis
Lineage: Bacteria; Bacillati; Actinomycetota; Actinomycetes; Kineosporiales; Kineosporiaceae
Description: Standard tmRNA
Rfam family: transfer-messenger RNA
About the family: Bacterial tmRNA, also known as 10Sa RNA or SsrA, is named for its dual tRNA and mRNA-like properties.
Source: Rfam by way of RNAcentral